UUUCCGUAGGUGAACCUGCGGAAGGAUCAUUAUUGGAUUUUGAAACUUCAGGCUGCUGCUGGCUCUCCUCGGAGGGCAUGUGCACGCUUGUUGUCCAUUAUUUCUCCCACUGUGCACAAAUUGUAGACCUUUCAGUAGGCCUAUGUUGUUUUUCACAAUCUCUGAAUGUAAUAGAAUGGUUUUGAAUCUUGGGAAAUACAAUACAACUUUCAGCAACGGAUCUCUUGGCUCUCGCAUCGUUGAAGAACGCAGC
Molecule: unclassified non-coding RNA, 253 nt
Filed under: plant metagenome
Description: partial contains small subunit ribosomal RNA, internal transcribed spacer 1, and 5.8S ribosomal RNA
Rfam family: 5.8S ribosomal RNA (bases 205-253)
Source: RNAcentral